CUCGCAGGCGGUUUCUUAAGUCUGAUGUGAAAGCCCCCGGCUCAACCGGGGAGGGUCAUUGGAAACUGGGGAACUUGAGUGCAGAAGAGGAGAGUGGAAUUCCACGUGUAGCGGUGAAAUGCGUAGAGAUGUGGAGGAACACCAGUGGCGAAGGCGACUCUCUGGUCUGUAACUGACGCUGAGGAGCGAAAGCGUGGGGAGCGAACAGGAUUAGAUACCCUGGUAGUCCACGCCGUAAACGAUGAGUGCUAAGUGUUAGGGGGUUUCCGCCCCUUAGUGCUGCAGCUAACGCAUUAAGCACUCCGCCUGGGGAGUACGGUCGCAAGACUGAAACUCAAAGGAAUUGACGGGGGCCCGCACAAGCGGUGGAGCAUGUGGUUUAAUUCGAAGCAACGCGAAGAACCUUACCAGGUCUUGACAUCCUCUGACAAUCCUAGAGAUAGGACGUCCCCUUCGGGGGCAGAGUGACAGGUNGNNGCAUGGUUGUCGUCAGCUCGUGUCGUGAGAUGUUGGGUUAAGUCCCCGCAACGAGCGCAACCCUUGAUCUUAGUUGCCAGCNUUCAGUUGGGCANUUUAAGGUGACUGCCGGUGACAAACCGGAGGAAGGUGGGGANUGNCGUCNNNUCAUNUUAGCGCCGGACGGNUUAGUNACACGUGGGGUACACACUGCCUGNUACAGANUGGGANAGACUCCGGGAAACCGGGCNGCNAAUACCGNGAUGGUUAAGUUNNAAUCCGCAUGGUUCAAAUCNUAAAAGNUNUCAGUUCGGNUACGCACUUNCAGACUNGACCUGCGGUGAAGCUNGAUUCGCUGAGGUAAUCGCGGAUCACCAUGCCGCNNCGAAUNCGUNNCCGGACCUUGUACAGGGUCACCGCCCGCCACCACUGGGANNUUGNAACANNCCCNGANUCGUACGGGAGGNNANCUUUUAGGGAANCNNCCGCAAUGGACAGAUGAGUCUGACGGAGCAACGCCGCGUAACAAGUGAUGAACGGUUUUCGGAUCGUAAAGCUCUGUUGUUAGGGAAGAACAAGUACCGUUCGAAUAGGGCGGUACCUUGACGGUACCUAACCAGAAAGCCACGGCUAAUUCUACGUGCCAGCAGCCGCGGUAAUACGUAGGUGGCAAGCGUUGUCCGGAAUUAUUGGGCGUAAAGGGCUCGCAGGCGGUUUCUUAAGUCUGAUGUGAAAGCCCCCGGCUCAACCGGGGAGGGUCAUUGGAAACUGGGGAACUUGAGUGCAGAAGAGGAGAGUGGAAUUUCCACGUGUAGCGGUGAAAUGCNUANAGAUGUGGA
This 1295-nucleotide ribosomal RNA is filed under the name Bacillus sp. 37LGy-3. RNAcentral describes it as "partial 16S rRNA". The stretch from base 1 to 880 matches the Rfam family "Bacterial small subunit ribosomal RNA", at positions 568 to 1533 of the family's 1533-position model. The record is from RNAcentral. Lineage: Bacteria; Bacillati; Bacillota; Bacilli; Caryophanales; Bacillaceae.